CGCGUGUUAAAUUCUAAUUAAGUUAUUACCUAAUUUUUCUCAAUUAUCGCAUAUAAGUUCUCUAUGUUCUCUCAUUGUUAAGCUCUCUCAGUGGUCGCGUAUAAGUUUUCUUUGUUCUCUCAGUGUUAAGUUCUCUCAUUGACCGCGUGUUAAUUUGUCUCUGUGAUUGCGUGUUAAGUUCUAACUAAGUUGUAACCUAAUUUCUCUCAAUAAUCGCGUAUAAGUUCAUUAUGUUCUCUCAUUGUUCAGUUCUCACAGUGGUCGCGUAUAAGUUUUCUUUGUUCUCUCAGUGUUAAGUUCUCUCAAUGAUCGCGUCUUAAGUUCUCUUAGUUAUCGCGUAUAAGUAAGCUAAGUUCUCUCAAUGUUAAGUUCUCUCAUUGACCGCGUGUUAAUUUGUCUCUGUGAUCGCGUGUAAAGUUCUAACUAAGUUGUAACCUAAUUUCUCUCAAUAAUCGUGUAUAAGUUCAUAUGUUCUCUUAUUGUUCUGUUCUCUCAGUGGUCGCGUAUAAGUUUUCUUUAUUCUCUCAGUGUUAAGUUCUCUCAGUGAUCGCGUAUAAGUUCUCUAAGUUCUUUCAGUGUUUAGUUCUCUCAAUGAUCGCGUCAUAAGUUCCCCCAUUAUCGCGUAUAAGUAAGUUAAGUUCUCUUAGUGUUAGGUUUUUCAUUGACCGCGUGUUAAUUUGUCUCUGUGAUCGCGUGUUAAGUUCUAACUAAGUUGUAACCUAAUUUCUCUCAAUAAUCGUGUAUAAGUUCAUUAUGUUCUCUCAUUGUUCAUUUCUCUCAGUGGUUGCGUAUAAGUUUUCUUUGUUUCUCAGUGUUAAGUUCUCUCAGUAAUCGCCUAUAAGUUAUCUAAGUUCUCUCAGUGUUUAGUUCUCUCAAUGAUCGCGUCUUAAGUUCUCUCAGUGAUAGCGUAUAAGUAAGCUUAGUUCUCUCAGUGUUAAGUUCUCUUAUUGACCGCGUGUUAAUUUGUCUCUGUGAUCGCGUGUUAAAUUCUAACUAAGUUGUAACCUAAUUUCUCUCAAUAAUCGCGUAUAAGUUCAUUAUGUUCUCUCAUUGUUCAGUUCUUUCAGUGGUCGCGUAUAAGUUUUCUUUGUUCUCUCAGUGUUUAGUUCUCUCAGUGAUCGCGUAUAAGUUCUCUAAGUUCUCUCAGUGUUUAAUUCUCUCAAUGAUCGCGUCUUAAGUUCUCUCAGUUA
Long non-coding RNA from Dreissena polymorpha, 1190 nucleotides. RefSeq lists it as uncharacterized. The transcript has 2 exons. Lineage: Eukaryota; Metazoa; Mollusca; Bivalvia; Myida; Dreissenidae. The record is from RefSeq and is a predicted model, not a curated record.